GCGCCAUUAGCUCAAUUGGAUAGAGUAACGCACUACGAAUGCGGAGGUUUGGGGUUCGAGUCCCUAAUGGCGCGCCA
Molecule: transfer RNA, 77 nt
Filed under: Bacillota bacterium
Lineage: Bacteria; Bacillati; Bacillota
Also listed under: 3 other names
Description: tRNA-Arg
Rfam family: tRNA
About the family: Transfer RNA (tRNA) molecules are approximately 80 nucleotides in length. Their secondary structure includes four short double-helical elements and three loops (D, anti-codon, and T loops).
Source: RNAcentral